RNAcentral lists this ribosomal RNA (136 nucleotides) under Microcebus murinus (gray mouse lemur). Lineage: Eukaryota; Metazoa; Chordata; Mammalia; Primates; Cheirogaleidae. The record is from RNAcentral.
GUCUAUGUCCAUACCACGCUGAAUGUGCCUGAUCUCAUCUGAUCUCAGAAGCUAAACAGGGUCGGGCCUGGUUAGUACUUGGAUGGGAGAAAGGUAAUCUCUUAGUUUUAACAUUCUUAGGCAGGUUGAAAUGACU